RNAcentral lists this unclassified non-coding RNA (312 nucleotides) under plant metagenome. Its description in RNAcentral is "partial contains 5.8S ribosomal RNA, internal transcribed spacer 2, and large subunit ribosomal RNA". The stretch from base 1 to 105 matches the Rfam family "5.8S ribosomal RNA", at positions 50 to 154 of the family's 154-position model. The record is from RNAcentral.
GAAACGCGAUAGUUAAUGUGAAUUGCAGAAUUCAGUGAAUCAUCGAGUCUUUGAACGCACAUUGCGCCCAUAGGUAUUCCUUUGGGCAUGUCUGUCCGAGCGUCAUUACGCACCCUCAAGCCCGGCUUGUGUGAUGGGCCCUGGCGUCUCGUUCGCGAGACGGGCCCGAAAGGCAGCGGCGGCGUCGACCCGAUGAGCCCGAGCGUAUGGGGACUUUUGUCACACGUUUGCGGUGCGGACCGGCGCCUGCUUGACUUUUCUGAUUAUCCAGGUUGACCUCGGAUCAGGUAGGGAUACCCGCUGAACUUAAGC